UUACGGCCAUAUCACGUCGAAACACCAGUUGCCGUACGAUCACCGAAGUUAAGCAACGUCGAGCCUGGUCAGUGCCUAGAUGGGUGACCGCUUGGAUGUGCGGGUGGUGUAA
Molecule: ribosomal RNA, 112 nt
Filed under: Acanthosepion pharaonis
Lineage: Eukaryota; Metazoa; Mollusca; Cephalopoda; Sepiida; Sepiidae
Source: RNAcentral